This 305-nucleotide ribosomal RNA is filed under the name uncultured bacterium. RNAcentral's name for it is "bacterial SSU rRNA". It matches the Rfam family "Bacterial small subunit ribosomal RNA", at positions 333 to 630 of the family's 1533-position model. The record is from RNAcentral.
AUCGUCCUACGGGGGGCAGCAGUGGGGAAUAUUGCACAAUGGGCGCAAGCCUGAUGCAGCGACGCCGCGUGCGGGAUGGAGGCCUUCGGGUUGUAAACCUCUGUCAGCAGGGAAGAACGGUCACUGUGCUAAUCAGCAGUGAAUUGACGGUACCUGCAAAGGAAGCACCGGCUAACUCUGUGCCAGCAGCCGCGGUAAUACGGAGGGUGCGAGCGUUAAUCGGAAUUACUGGGCGUAAAGCGCUCGUAGGCGGUAUGUCAAGUCAAGGGUGAAAUCCCCGCGCUCAACGUGGGAACUGCCUUUGA